This 334-nucleotide unclassified non-coding RNA is filed under the name soil metagenome. RNAcentral's name for it is "partial contains 5.8S ribosomal RNA, internal transcribed spacer 2, and large subunit ribosomal RNA". The stretch from base 1 to 120 matches the Rfam family "5.8S ribosomal RNA", at positions 35 to 154 of the family's 154-position model. The record is from RNAcentral.
GAUGAAGAACGUAGCGAAAUGCGAUAAGUAAUGUGAAUUGCAGAAUUCAGUGAAUCAUCGAAUCUUUGAACGCACAUUGCGCCCGCCAGUAUUCUGGCGGGCAUGCCUGUUCGAGCGUCAUUUCAACCAUCAAGCCCCCGGCUUGUGUUGGGGACCUGCGGCUGCCGCAGGCCCUGAAAACCAGUGGCGGGCUCGCUAGUCACUCCGAGCGUAGUAAUACAUCUCGCUCAGGGCGUGCUGCGGGUUCCGGCCGUUAAAAAGCCUUAUUUACCCAAGGUUGACCUCGGAUCAGGUAGGAAGACCCGCUGAACUUAAGCAUAUCAAUAAGCGGAGG